AGUGAACGCUGGCGGUAGGCCUAACACAUGCAAGUCGAACGGCAGCACAGUAAGAGCUUGCUCUUACGGGUGGCGAGUGGCGGACGGGUGAGGAAUACAUCGGAAUCUACUUUUUCGUGGGGGAUAACGUAGGGAAACUUACGCUAAUACCGCAUACGACCUACGGGUGAAAGCAGGGGAUCUUCGGACCUUGCGCGAUUGAAUGAGCCGAUGUCGGAUUAGCUAGUUGGCGGGGUAAAGGCCACCAAGGCGACGAUCCGUAGCUGGUCUGAGAGGAUGAUCAGCCACACUGGAACUGAGACACGGUCCAGACUCCUACGGGAGGCAGCAGUGGGGAAUAUUGGACAAUGGGCGCAAGCCUGAUCCAGCCAUACCGCGUGGGUGAAGAAGGCCUUCGGGUUGUAAAGCCCUUUUGUUGGGAAAGAAAAGCAGCAGGUUAAUACCCCGCUGUUCUGACGGUACCCAAAGAAUAAGCACCGGCUGACUUCGUG
This 491-nucleotide ribosomal RNA is filed under the name uncultured bacterium. Its description in RNAcentral is "partial 16S ribosomal RNA". It matches the Rfam family "Bacterial small subunit ribosomal RNA", at positions 29 to 507 of the family's 1533-position model. The record is from RNAcentral.